Long non-coding RNA from Aricia agestis (brown argus), 83 nucleotides. RefSeq lists it as uncharacterized. The transcript is spliced from 3 exons. NCBI's taxonomy places the organism in Eukaryota, Metazoa, Arthropoda, Insecta, Lepidoptera, Lycaenidae. The record is from RefSeq and is a predicted model, not a curated record.
UUGUUCCUUUUGUAGGACAAUCUUACUCUUAAAUUAAAUAACUAUGUAUUAACCUAUCAAAUAUACGGAAAAUCAGCCUAGUG